CCUUCUUUUUCUCUCUUUUUUCUUAAUUACUGGGCGUGAAGGGCACGUAGGCUGGCUGUUAAGUCGGUGGUGAAAUGCUGAGGCUCAACCUCAGAAUUGCCUUCGAUACUGACGGUCUUGAGUGCGGGAGAGGUGAGUGGAAUUCCCAGUGUAGAGGUGAAAUUUGUAGAUAUUGGGAAGAACACCAGUGGCGAAGGCGGCUCACUGGCCCGCAACUGACGCUGAGGUGCGAAAGCGUGGGGAGCAAACAGGA
RNAcentral lists this ribosomal RNA (253 nucleotides) under uncultured prokaryote. RNAcentral's name for it is "partial 16S ribosomal RNA". It matches the Rfam family "Bacterial small subunit ribosomal RNA", at positions 549 to 777 of the family's 1533-position model. The record is from RNAcentral.